This 1434-nucleotide long non-coding RNA is filed under the name Sinocyclocheilus grahami. Its description in RNAcentral is "lncRNA (ENSSGRG00000041296.1)". Lineage: Eukaryota; Metazoa; Chordata; Actinopteri; Cypriniformes; Cyprinidae. The record is from RNAcentral.
UUUUUUUUUUUUGAAUGAUUUAUUCCCACAUGUAUUUAAUUUUAGAUUUAUUUAUUUAUUGAUUCAUUUAUUUUUACUUUUCCGUGUGUAACAUGGAAAUGAGGAAGGUGGUCCUUGUGUAGCGUCAGUGCAUCAUUGGUUGAGAGCUCUCGCGUAGAAUCUCAGGCCAGCUAAGUGAUAGAGAUGAGAGUUUUCAAAGAAAAUGGCGGCAAGCAGUAAUUCGUUGUCCAGUUUGCUACGGGAUGUGGCAGAUCAGCUGGAGAGUUUACCCAGUCGCUGUGCAAAAGACAUAUUGUUCUCUGCUGGGUUAGGGGAGAAACGUGUCACCUUUCGAUGUAUGUAAAAAGCAACUUAUUGGAAUGUUAGAGUUUUGUUUAAAAGUGAGGUUUUCUUGAACACAUUUGGAUUAUUAAUUCUUAUGUAUCGUCUGUACUGUUAAAGGGAUAGUUCAGCCAAAAAUGGUAAAUUCUGUUAUUUACUCGCCCUCAAAUUUUAAAAAAACUGUAUAAACUUCUUUGUUCUGCUAAACACAAAAAAAUAAUCCAAAUAAUGCAUGUCAGCAAACAGGUUUGGGGCACCAUUGACUUCCAUAGUACGACAAAAUACUAUGGAACUCAGUGGUGCCCCAAUACUGUUUGGUUUCAAAUAUUGUUCUAAAACAUUCCUGCUUUAAAAAUAGUAAGGUCUGUCAGUAGUCAUUUAACUAAAAUUUUAACAAAAGUUGUCCGGAGCUUUCAAAACUGUACUGAACUGAAAGUCAAAGAUAAGUGAUAACUGUCAGAUUUGUCCUAGUAUCUUACAUUUUAUCUUUUUGUUAUUAUUAUUCUUAAAGGAUGCCAUGCAGAUCCCCAAAAAUGUAAGGAUGUCAUCGUGGAGGCUUUUCCAAAACUCAGACAAGGUGGUGGGUUUGAGUUGCUGAAAAUAUCUGGAAACACAAGGAGCCAUUAUCUCAGCUUGAUACCCUGUCCAAAUGAAGGGUACCAUGUAAAGUAUUUGAAAGAUCCUCAAAAUCAAAUUGGUCAUGCAACCAUUUUCAUUCGUCCACUUCAACGAAACUUAGAAGUUGAAUCACCAAGUCUUCCUAGCAGAGAUGAGUUGAUUGGACCACCUCAAAAAUGUGUUGUAUGUGGAGAUGAAUUCCCCUUUGCAGCUAUAAAGUCUCACAGUGAUGAGUGCAUGAGAUUGGAAAUUUGAGCCAGAUGCAACAGAGGCCUCAAAGAAGUACAGAGAAAACCUAUUGAAUACCCAUGAAAGGGGAAAAGAGCUACUUUUCCAGAUGGACAUGAGAGACCGUCCUGAAGACAGGGAGAGAGCAAUCUUGACUUUCUACAAGAUGGCAAAUGUAGAAUGGGCUUGUCCUUUAAAAUGUACACUACAUGGUAGGUAAAGUAAAUCCUAUAAUGCAGGGGUGUCCAAUCCUGCUCCUGGAGGGCC